ACUCCAGUGGCCUAGUGCUUAGAGCAUCCCCCUCGGAUGCGGAAGGUUGUUGGUUCAAACCCUAGCCGAGUC
Non-coding RNA from Potamilus streckersoni, 72 nucleotides. Lineage: Eukaryota; Metazoa; Mollusca; Bivalvia; Unionida; Unionidae. The record is from the annotation of a GenBank genome assembly.